This 944-nucleotide long non-coding RNA is filed under the name Homo sapiens (human). Its description in RNAcentral is "HSALNT0189830". Lineage: Eukaryota; Metazoa; Chordata; Mammalia; Primates; Hominidae. The record is from RNAcentral.
AAAUUAAGGUCGGAAGAGUGGCAGGGGAGGACUGAGGAUCAGUAUUGUAGCUGGGGAGGGGGAUGGCUAGGGAUGAAUCUUGCCCACCGAUGAUACCCUGACAUUCUUGCCUGGACAGGGUUAUUUGGAGGGAAAAGGGAGGUGCAAGGAUGCAAGGCAGAGAAUGCUUACCCCAUGAUUCUACGCUCCGAGUAAGCCUUUCGCUUGUUGGUGAAGGGAGCAGCAAAUCCCAUGAAGGAACGGCUCGAAGGUAAGCCAGCCUCAGCCGCCAAGAUCUGGGCAGCCCGAGGCAAGAGGAGGCUGCAGGAGGUCAGAAACCUAAGGCCAAAGGAAAGAGGAGCCAACCGUAUAGUUCUUCGUAAUCCUCUAUCAUUUGUAGGUGAAGGAGAAGAAGAGUGCAUCCCAGACGAAGGUCGUCCAAACAAGCUUUCCCCCCAGCACCUGCUGCAGCCCGCUAGGCUCUCUCUGGCCAGGGAGUCACGAGUGCAAAAGGUCGAGGGCAGCUAAGGACAGGGCUGGGGGCGGGGUGAGGGGGAUGAGAAAAAGGGGUGUGUGGGAAGCGCCAGUUGCCUUUGACUGGGCCUACACUACUGCUGAAAGCUAAGACUUUAAGGAAGCAUCACUGUCCCCGGGGACCCCAGGGCGCCCGCGAGGGCCAAGAAGAGGUUGGACACUCACCCCGAGAACUUCCCUUCUCGUACAACUUGCAAAAGCAUUAUCCAAAGCUCUACGUUAGCUCCCAGGGCAUGAUUGCUGCCAGUCCCCGCCGCGCCUGCAUCCCAGUAUAGCACCCCUCCACCGCGGAACCCCGGGGUUCGCAGCGACCCCCUGCCCUCAGCCGCGGUCACCUCCCUCUCACCUCAUUGGUCGCGGCGGUGGCAGAGGGCCUGGGGGCGGGGCCGGUUGCGCGCCCGGGCUGAGCGAGAGCCGGCAGCAGCGCUCGG